AUUUUCCCUUGUGCUCCCAGGCCCUGGAAGGCAGGACACCUUUAUCUAGUGGCCAGGCAUGGAGACUUUGAUAGCACAGAAGCUCUGGUUCAGGACACAUAGGUAGGUUGGAUCUCUGCCUCUGGGGAUGGACCAGAAGUAAGUGUCUACAAUAACUGUGGUGGUCAGUGUUGUCAACUUGAUAGAUUCAAGAAUCACCUGGGAGACCUGUGUGUGACUGUAGGGGGAUAUCUUGGUUAAGAUGACGGAAGUGAGAAGACACACCUACCAUGGGUGGCACCAUUCCCUGUGGCAUGCUGGAGUCUGUGAAUGGAGGCAGGGUGGUAGCGUGCAUUCAUUUCUCUGCUUCCUGGCUGUGUGUGCUGAGUGACCAGUUGCUUCAAGCCCCUGCCAUGUGACUGCUCUGUACCUCUGAGAGGCAAGCCAGAAUAAACCCUUUCUCCCUUCAGUUGCUUUUGUUAGGGUGUUUUGUCACAGCAACAGGAACAGAAAUGGAGACUGUGAGGACUAUGAGGAGGCGCUUCUUGGGGUUGGCAGGAGGCAGAGACUCAGAGGAAGUAGGGCUAGAAUGCAGAAAGCAGGCCCUGGAGGGAGACAGUAACUCCAGCAUCAGAAAGAGAUGAGGUGGUCUAUGUCCUGUGGUAUAUCCCUGCCCUCCCUGUCCCCAGACAUGCUGUGACAGACUAAGGUUGGUUACUAUGGACAUUAUAAGAGCAGGAGUCAGUAUCUCACUUUCAGGGGUCUUUACCUCAGUGACAUGUGGUUACAGGCCAAACUCAGCCAACUGGCUCUUGAUGACUCCCCUUCUCAGACGACCACCAUCCUUGCAAUGAAUCCAGGCAACCACUAACUAGGAGGCCUCAGGAACCCGUUAAAUUGAUGGUCUGUCUGGCUCCUGCGCUUUGCUCUCCUUUGGGUUGGUUAGCUGGAGUCAGCAUGGCCCUCACCCAUAUGCUCCCUAGCCAGAAGGGGGUAUCUGGAUGGAGUCACAGAUGAUUGUGAGUCGGCAUGUGAGUGCUGGAAACUGACUCCCGGUCCUCUGCAAGAGCAUCCGGUGAUCUUAAUUGCUCAGGCAUAUGUUUCAGGCCACAAAGUUCUGUCCUAGGAGAAGGAAAUAUACCAACAACCAGAGCCAAGGGACCCACUGGCCUUGACUCAUGUUCACCAAAAGAAUAGAUGAGCUGAUGCCUGGACAUUCAGGGGAAGGCGACAGAAGCUACCGGGGAAAGACUCGGGUCUCUGAAGUUGAUAAAAGGGGUACUAUACUGAGCAGUCUAGGCCUGGAACUUGUUUCUGUGUGGUCAUGCAACCAUAAAACAAAGGAGGUAGUGGGAAGGCCCUGACAUCAUGGAACUUGAAUUUGCAUGCAGGACUAAAGGGUCAAGUACAAACUAGAUACUUUGAAAGGAAAAGUGCGGCAUGGAAUUUGUCCUAUGAAGAAUAAAACUUAUGAAAAAACUGUCAUGUGUCAUGAGUUGAGUGAAGACAACUCAACACUGGGCCAAGAGUUUCAAAAUGGAUUGACUAUAGACUUGGGUGCCUGGAUAUAACCCAUUAGGGUAGUUGACCUUAGACGUACAAUUGUGAGCCACUGGAAAAUACAGGGAUUUUUUUCUCUAGUUAUCUGUUUGUCAUAUCAGAAAAAAUAAUUAAAUCAGAUCCCCACCUUACAGCACACACAGCAUCAAUUUAGAUGAAGAAAUAAAGGAAAGACACAGGAGAGUGUCUUCUAACACUGGGUGAGGGAAGUAAUCUAAGCAAGAUAUACCAAGUUACUGAACUUUGCUAGCAUUGCAAUUUUUAAACAUAAACACACACAUACACACGUGUAUGUAUGUAUGUAUGUAUGUGUGUAUGUAUGUAUAACAAAUACAAAAAGUGAAGGCCAAGCAUUAAGAAUGUCAAUGACAUUCAGUCUGUGAUGCGAUUUCUCUGGGAACACACCUAAAGUACAGAAAGCAGGGGCUUGGGUAGAUUUUUUUUUAAUUUCAGUGCUCACAGCAGUGUUAUUCACAAGAACCAAACACUGAAAACAGCCCAGAUGAAUGAGCAGGCAAAAUGGGACAUGGAUUCAACAGUUUAUGAGUCAGCCUUCUGGCAAAGGGGCAUUCUGGCCCAUGCUCCAGCAUGGGUGAACCUUGAAGACACGCCAUCACAAGAAGAAACGUUGCAUGAAUCUACUUCUAGUGCAAUUCGUGGAGAGGAAAACCAGAAAGACCAGUCAAGAUGGAAGAACAUGCUCACCCCAGGGAGAUAGAUACACAGCAAAGCAAUAAUGAGAUCGUAUCUCACACGUAUCAUAUUGCAAAAACCCAAGUCUCCUAAUGCCUGGAGAUGGCAGUGAAGCAAUAAGAUCUGUCAUAUGUCAUGGGUGAUGUGUGAAGAAAAAAACUCCCUACAGACUCUUUGAGGACAAUUUGGCAAUAUCUGGCAGAUGGCAGAGAAUGGCACACCUCUGUAUCAGCGUCUCCUUCCAGGGACAAACCCUAGGGAAUUUCUCACACCUGUGGUGAAAUUAUGCACAAAAACACUGCUGCACUGCUCUUCUUACUGAGGAAAAUUUGAAGCCAUCCAGUGCUAGGAUGAAGGAUAAACAAAUUGUUACAUCACUAAGUAGAUUACUAUGCAGCAGUUAAAAUGUCCUAUAUGUGGUUGGUGUUCCUGUGGACAGAUCUUUCAAGCACAAUGCUUGGUAAAGAAAGCUUGCUUCUUCACGGGCAGGGGUUGGGAGGAAUGCGGAGUUAGUGUUUAGCUGGGGCAGAGUUUCAGUUUGAGAAGAGGUGGAUGGUGGCAAUGGCUAUACCCAAACACGGACCUGUCACGUACACGGGCUUCAUGGACCACAAAGUGAAGGACUGAUUGAGGUUCAAUGGGAAAUCUUGAAGCACUCAGUGGACUCUGUUUGCAGGAUCUAAAGCUAUUCUGCUAUCUUCGGCCGCUGUCCAAUAUUUCAGACUAUAGUGUAAACCUACAUUCUCUGCUCCAGGGUGGACAUUAACAGGGUCACCUACUCAACUGAGAUGCUUCUUGACUCCAUGUGCACUGGGAACCUCUUUAGUGCAACUGUGGGAGCUGAAGCCGGAUUCACCUGAAAGACAGUAUAACUCCAUCAACUUUCCCUGCCUUAGAGACCCAGAAACCUGUACUGAAGUGGACAAGACUGGGUUUCCCACCAGGCUGAGUGGGCAUGGCAGUCCUUAGUUGCAAGUGCUGGAAAGAAAAAACAUUCUGUUUGAA
Long non-coding RNA from Mesocricetus auratus (golden hamster), 3237 nucleotides. RefSeq lists it as uncharacterized. The record is from RefSeq and is a predicted model, not a curated record. Lineage: Eukaryota; Metazoa; Chordata; Mammalia; Rodentia; Cricetidae. The transcript is spliced from 2 exons.